Molecule: unclassified non-coding RNA, 161 nt
Filed under: soil metagenome
Description: partial internal transcribed spacer 1
Source: RNAcentral
CUGAGUUCAUGCCCCUUACGGGUAGAUCUCCCACCCUUGAUAUCUAAACCUUUGUUGCUUUGGCGGGCCGCUUCGGGCUACCGGCUCCCGGCUGGUGAGUGCCCGCCAGACGAACCUUAAACUCUGAAUUACAGUGUCGUCGGAGUACUAUAAAAUAGUUA